RNAcentral lists this microRNA precursor (75 nucleotides) under Myotis lucifugus (little brown bat). RNAcentral's name for it is "mir-9229 microRNA precursor family". It matches the Rfam family "mir-9229 microRNA precursor family". The record is from Rfam by way of RNAcentral. Lineage: Eukaryota; Metazoa; Chordata; Mammalia; Chiroptera; Vespertilionidae.
AGACACCCUUAUGGGGCAAGGCUUGCUUCAGUGGGGCUUUGGUGCUCACUGAAUCUGCCCCCUGAGUGUGUCCCU